AGAUUGAACGCUGGCGGCAUGCCUUACACAUGCAAGUCGAACGGCAGCACGGGGGCAACCCUGGUGGCGAGUGGCGAACGGGUGAGUAAUGCAUCGGAACGUGCCCAGUAGUGGGGGAUAACUAGUCGAAAGAUUAGCUAAUACCGCAUACGACCUACGGGUGAAAGCGGGGGAUUCGCAAGAACCUCGCGCUAUCGGAGCGGCCGAUGUCUGAUUAGCUAGUUGGCGGGGUAAAAGCCCACCAAGGCUUCGAUCAGUAGCUGGUCUGAGAGGACGACCAGCCACACUGGGACUGAGACACGGCCCAGACUCCUACGGGAGGCAGCAGUGGGGAAUUUUGGACAAUGGGCGCAAGCCUGAUCCAGCCAUGCCGCGUGCGGGAAGAAGGCCUCGGUUGUAAACGCUUUGGCAGGACGAAACGGACGCGAGCAAAUAUCUCGCGUUAAUGACGGUACCUGCAGAAUAAGACACCGGCUAACACGUGCCAGCAGCCGA
RNAcentral lists this ribosomal RNA (495 nucleotides) under uncultured soil bacterium. RNAcentral describes it as "bacterial SSU rRNA". It matches the Rfam family "Bacterial small subunit ribosomal RNA", at positions 26 to 518 of the family's 1533-position model. The record is from RNAcentral.